Vespa mandarinia (Asian giant hornet) is the source of this 5732-nucleotide unclassified non-coding RNA. Lineage: Eukaryota; Metazoa; Arthropoda; Insecta; Hymenoptera; Vespidae. The record is from RefSeq and is a predicted model, not a curated record.
CGAAGCCGUGCGAUCGAGCCAAUAGUGAUCGUGCGGUGCUUACGGGAACACGUUUCGGCUCGUCGGUCUCGUUCGCGGUACGUUCUCUGAUACGUGAAAACAUAAAGCAAGGAAGAAAGAGAGAGAGAGAGAAAGAAAAAGAGAGAGAGAAGAGAGAGAGAGAAAGAAAGAGAAUAAGAGAGAAGUAGUAUAAAGGGAAUCUCCAUCUUUGUCUUUUGGUCGGUAGUCGUCAAGGUCGAACGGAAGGGAAAUCCGAGAGGGGAAGGAGAAAUUCUCUUGGUCAUCAUUAUCUUCAUCAUCGCCGUCGUUAUUAUCGUCGACUACACUAUCUCUUCAUUUGAUCACUACCUAUUUGAAGGAACUCAAGGAAAGCUGCAACUCUUCUUCGGCAACAGCAGGAUUCAGGGGCGAGAAGCGCGCAGGACGAGAGGAGAGAAGUGGAGACGAAAGAAACAUAGCGGAGGGGAGGGGAGGGACACGAAACAACUCUUCGAAGAAGACGUCGCGAGCUUAGCGGCUCGUUUUUCAAAGGAGACGUUGUCAUCGUGGGUGAGGAGAGGCGAGGAACGCCAUGCCGGCAGGUAUUGGCGCUUCGUACAGGUCGUUAGGCGACCUGGGCGAAGACGUUUACAAAAGCACAACGAUCGUCGACCAGACUCAGAGCACCGGUCAAAGUGUACUCGAAAGUGUCAAGAAGGCUUUCAGCUUCGCUUCGCCAAAGGUGGAGAUCAGGAAGAAGGAUCCAUUGAUCGAGGAUCGACGAGAGAGCGUCUCGAUCGUAUCAAGGGACAGAAACAAGAUGCCAACCGCCGCUACCGCCGAGAAAACUGCACUAUUGGGCACGAUGCCUUCGUGCAUGCGAGAUAGUAUGGACGAUAUCGAGUUGAAGAAUAUUCAGCUACAGUUUCCGGCUCUGAGGUAUUUGUCGAGAGACGAUAGCUCUGUACGAGAAGAAAGAGUAGAAACCGAUAAAGGUAGUCUGCUUGUUGCCGUACAAGGAAACCAGACAAAACCAGCGAUCCUCACCUACCACGAUUUAGGCCUUAAUUAUAUCUCGAGCUUCCAAGCUUUCUUCAAUUACAUCGACAUGCGCGUUCUCCUCGAAAACUUUUGCGUCUAUCAUGUUAACGCACCUGGUCAAGAGGAAAAUGCACUGGCGCUUCAGGAAGAUUAUGUUUAUCCAUCCAUGGAAGAGUUAGCAGAACAAUUGCUCUUUGUCCUCGGCCAUUUCGGUUUGAGAUCUGUCAUUGGUUUUGGGGUUGGUGCGGGAGCCAAUAUAUUGGCUAGAUUUGCACUUGCACAUCCAGAUAAGGUCAAUGCACUGUGCUUGAUCAAUUGCGUAUCUACGCAAGCAGGAUGGAUCGAAUGGGGUUAUCAAAAGCUCAACGUUCGUCAUCUGAGGUCACAGGGAAUGACGCAGAGCGUCCUUGAUUAUCUCAUGUGGCAUCAUUUUGGCAGGGGUACAGAAGAAAGAAACCAUGACCUCGUUCAAGUCUACAAGAAUUAUUUCGAACAUCGCGUGAACCCAAUAAAUCUAGCAUUAUUCAUCGACAGUUACGUGCGACGUACUGAUUUGAAUAUCACCAGAGAACUGGAUCCUACGCGCAAGAAGGAAGGUUUAACGCUUAGCGUACCAGUAAUGAACAUUACAGGUGCUCUGAGUCCGCACGUGGACGACACGGUUACGUUAAAUGGGCGGUUAGAUCCAACGAACAGCACCUGGAUGAAGAUCUCUGAUUGCGGUAUGGUCCUCGAGGAACAACCGGGCAAAGUAAGCGAGGCCUUUCGACUGUUUCUUCAAGGCGAAGGAUAUGCGGUGAGAUCCUCGCGGAAGCCCAUGACGCCGACAACACCCGAAGGUAAUUGUAAUUAGGAAUUGAAGGUCGCAAGGAGUCGAGCGCGCAGUUGGUCAAUUAGGCCACAUCUAUGUGUUAAUGGCCCCACUUUCGCCAUUGAAGAUGGCCGACUAUAGAUUGGCCUCUCUCGAAGGACUGAAUCAUGUUUGCAGCAAGAAAAUCGAUUGGCCUACAGCAACUAUACACAUCACCGAGAAUCCCAUAUCGGAAGCAGUGGUUUGCUAAAUGUUUCUCGAUGAACAACAACCACCUCCGUUAAUUUCUUUUUAAAUAAUAAAAACUACCUAAUCGACGAUAGAUCAAACAACACGAUGACGAUAAAUAACUUCAAGGUUUCGUCGAAACAACGAUCGUCGUGGCAUUCGUUUUAAUUUCUUUUCGAGGUGGUACCGUAACAUAUUAUUUUCGACUGCGAUUUCAGUUUAGUUCGAUUCUAUUAUAUCUUUUUUUUUGCUUUCGACUUUUUUAUUCUUAUAAUUAAUUUUCACUAUUUUUAUCUUAAACAAAAGUUAGUCGAUAUAACUAUUAUGCGACGCUGCGUUGUUAUUUUACAAAAUGAAGAAAGAAGUAAAAAAGAUAAAAAGAAAGAAAGAGAGAGAGAGAGAGAGAUAGAGAGAUAGAAAAAGAGAAAAAUUUAUUAUCGAGUAAUUUCCAAAUGUUACAUUUUUAAAAAGUGACUGAUCACAAAUUUUCUAAUGUUAAGAGGGCGAAACAAAUAACUAUUUAAAAAGUUAACGAGUUCGUAUAAUUUUAAAAUCGAUGUUGAAUAUUUUAAAAGUGAUUUUAAACAAUGAACAUUUUUAUUAUUAAAAUUUUAAGACGUUGUUACGACGCCUUUAAAAAAGGAAGAAAACACAUACACACACCAUACUUCUGCGAUAAUUCGACGACGCCCAUUGUCGCCGUGAACAAAACUAACAGCGACGACAAUAUCGUAAGGGAGCGAGAUUUUAAAAAAAAAAAAGUCAAGUCAAUCAGUAAAAACUAUCAUCGAAUGAAUGUUCAUGAAUAAUCGCGGAUAAGUUAAUUUUUUCGUAAAUUUACGAGCACACAACGAAUUCGCGACUUUUACACCGAGACAAAUUUUACAAACCGUUUAAGGAAUAUUAAACGAUAUGAUUUAGCAAUUUCUUUAUAAAUUAUGCCAACAUUUAUGAACGGUAUGAAAUUUAUGCAGAUACAUAAGAAACAAGAACUCGCAAUAUGAUAUUAUUUCAUUCACAAGUACUAUUAAUAAAUAUACAAAAACAUAUAUACACACAGACAUACUUAUAUACACACACACAAACAAACAAACAUACACACACACACACACAUAUAUAUAUAUAUAUACGAAAAUACAUACAUGUGUAAAAAGAAAUCAAAAUAAUGAAAAGAAAAGAAGAAAUAAUACGGUGGUACUGUACAGAAAAAAAGAACAAAUCGCGCUUUCCCGAGACUGAAAUCCAUCAACAACCAUGUCUAUCGAUUUUUUUCGAAGGAAGAAACGAUCGAUAAAUCGUUUCAACAAUAGAAAUGAAGAUAUAGUACCCAAAAGCGUGAAGUUUCGUCGUUGGUAGUAAAAAAUUUCAGACGAUAUUACGGAGAAAUAAUAAAAAAAAUGAUGGAUGCUGCUAAUUAGCUGCCUCAAAGUGUCCUCGGAGAGAGAGAGUUCGCUAUAUUACUCGUCGUCCAUUGGCCUAAGGAUGAAAUCGAAAGAUCUAAGAAACAAGUCGAUCGAUCGUACAAUCGACUCUUCUUUCGUCGAAUUUUCGUCGGACUUUUCGCGAUUUAGGUGCUGAUAAGAAGGACAAAUUCUUCGCGUUAUACAGAAAAAUUCUUUUGAGAACGGAUUGGUGUAGAAUUUGUGUUACUGUCCGUUCUAAAAAAAAGAUUUUCCAUCGAUCCUUUUUCCCUGCCAUAAAAGGGCAUUAUGGAAAGAGAGAGCGAGAGCAAGAGAGAGAGAGAGAGAGAGAGAGAGAGAGAGAGAACGAGAAAACGAGAGAAAACGCCUAUACACGCGUUUACGUUUGUGCACCGUUCGCACCAUUUUAUUAUUUUAUUUUAAAGCGCAUAUGGAAUAAAUACAUAUAGAGGAAAAAAAUGACGAUGAAUGAUGUGCGUUUGAGUGCGAGGAUGUACGUAUAGAAAGAAAAAUCAUAGUAGAAGAGUAUAUUUGAUAGAUAGUCGUUAAAGGAAAAUAAUAAGUCAAAAAGAUCUGGUUUGGUACAUCCGCAUGGUUAUAUUAUACCUGGCUUUUUCAAGCCUCUAGCGUGAUAUGAUAAGACGUGCCUGCUACAUGAUGUUGUACUACGUAGCUUUCGAAAGUUCCACUCCGCCUUUAGUUUUGUAUGUGAUGAGAUUCCUUCCGAUUUUCUCUGUAUUAAAUUUUGUCGUAUCUUUGUGCAUUCACCUUUGUGAUAGGUGAAGAUAAGAACGAGCCAUUGCUUCUCGUGCAGCGUGUCACGUUUAAUCGGACGAUCGUAUUGUGUAUAUAUAUAUAUAUAUAUAUAUAUAUAUAUAUAUAUAUAUAUAUAUGUAUGUAUGUAUAUAUAUACAUAUAUAUUCUUUUUCUUUCGUUUUCGUAACGACAAAUUGUCAAAGCACAAAGAGACGAGAAAAUUAUAAAAAUACUAAAAAGAUUUCGAGGAUAAGACUUAGUCGCUCCACGUAGACGAGAAAGUUUAUAAUGAGAAACCGGAUAUAUGUAUGUAUAAUAGAUGUAUGUAUAUCUAUGACGCGUUGUUUAGACUGUCGCGAAAAAAAUAGUAUACAGCUUUAUAUUAGAGAAGUUCGUGGCUCGAUUUGCGAGAAUUGAAAAGGAUAACACACGCAUUAAAAAAAUUGCUGACGUGAGCUCUAAGUAAGUAAGAAUAACGUAGCCUCUAAGAACUACCGAUACACCGCCAAUAAUAUACGUAUAUAUCCUACGUUCCCGUAUUAUUUCUCACUCUUCGUUAUCAAACAUUCAAGCCGACUGUUAGAUUAAUCGCGUAAUAGAACGGAUCAUUCGAAAUUACAAUUAGACUAUCGAUAUAUAUAUAUAUAUAUAUAUAUAUACAUAUACAUAUAUAUAUAUAUAUAUAUAUAUAUAUAUAUAUAUAAAAUACCUGCAUUCGAUUAAACAUAUCGACGAAGGAGAAUUCGGCGAACGCUGCUUUUUAAAUUUUCGAUCGUCGGUCCGAUCUCUUAAUGAUACGGUUCUUCGUCAAGAAAAUCUUCUCGAAGUGCAUAUCAGUAAUGUAUGUAUAACAAAAUUGGAAAUGAUAUCUCGUAGAUAAAACGAAACGAAACGAAACGAAAAGAAAAACGCAAAAGAAAAGUGAAAAAAAUUUCCUUCGUGGAUCAAUGAGUACUCAUUUUUUGCAUACGUCACGACGAAUCGUAUUUUACUAUAUUAAUUUCUUUCAUAUUACGAGAUUUUAUCUCAUAUUAUACGAUUAAACGAUCCGGAUUUAAAAAAGGACCGAAAAUAAAAUAUAUAUAACGUUUUUUCAUGGGAUCGAUCGUUUUCAUCCGUCGAUACGAUCUUACGCGAGAUCGUUCAAUGCGCGACGAGAUUAAAUAUUUUAUGUUUCCUUUCUUUCUUUCUCUUUCGUUUUUUUUUUCUUUUUUCUUUAUUUCUUUUAUUUCAGUUGAAUUGUCACACUUACAAUGCGUUUGUUUUUCUUUUUUUUUUUCGCGCUGUACUCUAUCUAUCGUAGCGCGAAGCAUAUUGAGUUCGUGACGUUAAUGACUCAAGAGUAAAUGAAAUAUAGUAAGUACAGUAAGAGCGAACUAUACGUAUUGUUAGACGCGGAGCUUGAAUACAUAUAAAAUACGUUAUAAUGAUUAAAGGACACGUGCGCACUGAACAAAUACAUCUUGUUAUUUAUAAUAAACGAAUUCGAAAGCAAA